Molecule: transfer RNA, 73 nt
Filed under: Myotis lucifugus (little brown bat)
Lineage: Eukaryota; Metazoa; Chordata; Mammalia; Chiroptera; Vespertilionidae
Rfam family: tRNA
About the family: Transfer RNA (tRNA) molecules are approximately 80 nucleotides in length. Their secondary structure includes four short double-helical elements and three loops (D, anti-codon, and T loops). Further hydrogen bonds mediate the characteristic L-shaped molecular structure. tRNAs have two regions of fundamental functional importance: the anti-codon, which is responsible for specific mRNA codon recognition, and the 3' end, to which the tRNAs corresponding amino acid is attached (by aminoacyl-tRNA synthetases). tRNAs cope with the degeneracy of the genetic code in two manners: having more than one tRNA (with a specific anti-codon) for a particular amino acid; and 'wobble' base-pairing, i.e. permitting non-standard base-pairing at the 3rd anti-codon position.
Source: Rfam by way of RNAcentral
GCCGGUGUGACUCAGUGGAUAGAGUGUCGGCUUGCGAACCGAAGGGUCUCGGGUUCGAUUCCAGUCAAGGGCA